Molecule: long non-coding RNA, 1340 nt
Organism: Pseudophryne corroboree (corroboree frog)
Lineage: Eukaryota; Metazoa; Chordata; Amphibia; Anura; Myobatrachidae
Exons: 5
Source: RefSeq, a predicted model, not a curated record
AAUUAAUACUUACAGUUUUUGUCAGUUUCAUUGGCAUGCAGCCAGAAGUUUGCAGAGAUUUAUUUCCGUUUGGGUAAUGUAGUAGCAAUAGAAGAACAGCAUUACCUUUCCACGUGCUAAGCAAAUUUAUUAUAUCUCAGUGACAGCGUGUUUGAAUUGGCUCUCUGUAUUGCUGGCUAACUGCAGCUGUUUGUACAUCAUCCUUCAUCAACCGUGGUCACCACUUCUGUGGCUGGACUUCACCGAUCCUGAAAAGAAUUUUCGUCAUUGAGGCGCCAGUGAAUAUUCUUUCCCUUCUAAACCCCUGUCUGCUGGCAGCGCCGCCUGAUGAUGUAGGGGCUGGACUCUCCCUACUGGAACGCAAGCUGGAGGUCGCUUAGCAACAUCCACCUGCGUCUACCCGGAAGUGAGGUUCACGCUGACACCCGGCGUCUGCAGCUGUGGACGAUUGCGGCGGCGGGAGGAUGGCUUGUGGUAUCAGUGAUUGCUAGGGGUGCAGCUGUUUACAUGGCCAUAUGUUGCCGAUUAUCCAGUGCAGAAAGAGGUUAUAAAGUGGAUACUCGAGAGAUUGCCUCCUCCCAAGUUAUCAGCAUGUAAAACAACCUAUGACUCCAUCCAAGAGCCAAAGAAUAUAAAGUCUUUGUUAUACAGUGCAUCCUCUUUCCAUGACCUGUAAAAAGAAAGAAAACAGAGGCACAAUAGUACAUUACCCUAAAAGAGGAAGAAAGGGCUCUGGGAUUCAGAAGUGCUGACAAUCAGACAAUAGAGAGAUUGACAAGUAUACGCAGCACAUUAUUACCACAUAAAGAGUUAAUUGAAUGAGCAGAAUUUAUUCUGUGUGUCAUAUUCUUCCCCCCCCCCCCCUUCCUUCCCCUCAGUUUAAGAUGCAGUGAAUUGCACAAGGCUGACCAGAAGUCCAGAAAUGACAUUAUACUGUACAUCAGAACGUGCCUAGCCAACGGGGGAAAAUCGCAAGGAAUGCAGAAUUCUGGGAGCGACUCGCUAGAUGAUGUAACUAAAAGGCACCGUGGGAAUGUAACAGGAAAAGGGUGAUCAGAUAAGCUUAUCUACAAAUGAGGUUAAAGAUUAGAAAUACCUUUACAGAUGUAAAUAAUUCCAGGGGAAAGGUUUAGAGAUUAUUUACUGCUACACUAAACAAAAGGCAAUCUUUUUACAUUUUUAAUCACACAUACACACAAGAAUAAAUAAAUACAUUUAAAAAAUGGACUAAAUGCAUAAUAAAAGGAGGUUGUUUGGCUAUGUCAUGAAUGGGGCGGGGCCAUGUCUCCACCCUAAAACUCAGGAUGGUCCCACCUGAACCGGGAUAGUUGGGAUGUACU